This 123-nucleotide non-coding RNA is filed under the name insect gut metagenome. RNAcentral's name for it is "FMN riboswitch (RFN element)". It matches the Rfam family "FMN riboswitch aptamer (RFN element)". From Rfam's summary of the family: The RFN element is a highly conserved domain that is found frequently in the 5'-untranslated regions of prokaryotic mRNAs that encode for flavin mononucleotide (FMN) biosynthesis and transport proteins. The record is from RNAcentral.
CUUCUUCGGGGUCGGGUGUAAUUCCCAAUCGGCGGUAAUUUUUAGAAGUCCGCGACCUGCUUUUUGGCAGCUGAUCUGGUGAGAUUCCAGAACCGACAGUAAAAGUCUGGAUGAGAGAAGAAG